UUAAGUUAGAAAGGGCGCACGGUGGAUGCCUUGGCACUAGGAGCCGAUGAAGGACGGGACGAACACCGAUAUGCUUCGGGGAGCUGUAAGCAAGCUUUGAUCCGGAGAUUUCCGAAUGGGGAAACCCACCACUCGUAAUGGAGUGGUAUCCAUAUCUGAAUACAUAGGGUAUGAGAAGGCAGACCCGGGGAACUGAAACAUCUAAGUACCCGGAGGAAGAGAAAGCAAAUGCGAUUCCCUGAGUAGCGGCGAGCGAAACGGGACCAGCCCAAACCAAGAGGCUUGCCUCUUGGGGUUGUAGGACACUCUGUACGGAGUUACAAAGGAACGAGGUAGAUGAAGAGGUCUGGAAAGGCCCGCCAUAGAAGGUAACAGCCCUGUAGUCAAAACUUCGUUCUCUCCUGAGUGGAUCCUGAGUACGGCGGAACACGUGAAAUUCCGUCGGAAUCCGGGAGGACCAUCUCCCAAGGCUAAAUACUCCCUAGUGACCGAUAGUGAACCAGUACCGUGAGGGAAAGGUGAAAAGCACCCCGGAAGGGGAGUGAAAGAGAUCCUGAAACCGUGUGCCUACAAGUAGUCAGAGCCCGUUAACGGGUGAUGGCGUGCCUUUUGUAGAAUGAACCGGCGAGUUACGAUCCCGUGCAAGGUUAAGCAGAAGAUGCGGAGCCGCAGCGAAAGCGAGUCUGAAUAGGGCGAAUUGAGUACGUGGUCGUAGACCCGAAACCAGGUGAUCUACCCAUGUCCAGGGUGAAGUUCAGGUAACACUGAAUGGAGGCCCGAACCCACGCACGUUGAAAAGUGCGGGGAUGAGGUGUGGGUAGGGGUGAAAUGCCAAUCGAACCUGGAGAUAGCUGGUUCUCUCCGAAAUAGCUUUAGGGCUAGCCUCAAGGUAAGAGUCUCGGAGGUAGAGCACUGAUUGGACUAGGGGCCCCUACCGGGUUACCGAAUUCAGUCAAACUCCGAAUGCCGAUGACUUAUCCUUGGGAGUCAGACUGCGAGUGAUAAGAUCCGUAGUCGAAAGGGAAACAGCCCAGACCGCCAGCUAAGGUCCCAAAGUAUACGUUAAGUGGAAAAGGAUGUGGAGUUGCUUAGACAACCAGGAUGUUGGCUUAGAAGCAGCCACCAUUUAAAGAGUGCGUAAUAGCUCACUGGUCGAGUGACUCUGCGCCGAAAAUGUACCGGGGCUAAACGUAUCACCGAAGCUGCGGACUGUUCUUCGAACAGUGGUAGGAGAGCGUUCUAAGGGCUGUGAAGCAAGACCGGAAGGACUUGUGGAGCGCUUAGAAGUGAGAAUGCCGGUAUGAGUAGCGAAAGAGGGGUGAGAAUCCCCUCCACCGAAUGCCUAAGGUUUCCUGAGGAAGGCUCGUCCGCUCAGGGUUAGUCGGGACCUAAGCCGAGGCCGAAAGGCGUAGGCGAUGGACAACAGGUUGAUAUUCCUGUACCACCUCCUCACCAUUUGAGCAAUGGGGGGACGCAGGAGGAUAGGGUAAGCGCGGUAUUGGAUAUCCGCGUCCAAGCAGUUAGGCUGGGAAAUAGGCAAAUCCGUUUCCCGUGAAGGCUGAGCUGUGAUGGCGAGCGAAUUAUAGUAGCGAAGUUCCUGAUUCCACACUGCCAAGAAAAGCCUCUAGCGAGGUGAGAGGUGCCCGUACCGCAAACCGACACAGGUAGGCGAGGAGAGAAUCCUAAGGUGAUCGAGAGAACUCUCGUUAAGGAACUCGGCAAAAUGACCCCGUAACUUCGGGAGAAGGGGUGCUCUGUUAGGGUGCAAGCCCGAGAGAGCCGCAGUGAAUAGGCCCAGGCGACUGUUUAGCAAAAACACAGGUCUCUGCGAAGCCGUAAGGCGAAGUAUAGGGGCUGACGCCUGCCCGGUGCUGGAAGGUUAAGAGGAGCGCUUAGCGUAAGCGAAGGUGCGAAUUGAAGCCCCAGUAAACGGCGGCCGUAACUAUAACGGUCCUAAGGUAGCGAAAUUCCUUGUCGGGUAAGUUCCGACCCGCACGAAAGGCGCAACGAUCUGGGCACUGUCUCAACGAGAGACUCGGUGAAAUUAUAGUACCUGUGAAGAUGCAGGUUACCCGCGACAGGACGGAAAGACCCCGUGGAGCUUUACUGCAGCCUGAUAUUGAAUGUUGGUACAGCUUGUACAGGAUAGGUAGGAGCCUUGGAAACCGGAGCGCCAGCUUCGGUGGAGGCAUCGGUGGGAUACUACCCUGGCUGUAUUGACCUUCUAACCCGCCGCCCUUAUCGGGCGGGGAGACAGUGUCAGGUGGGCAGUUUGACUGGGGCGGUCGCCUCCUAAAAGGUAACGGAGGCGCCCAAAGGUUCCCUCAGAAUGGUUGGAAAUCAUUCGCAGAGUGUAAAGGCACAAGGGAGCUUGACUGCGAGACCUACAAGUCGAGCAGGGACGAAAGUCGGGCUUAGUGAUCCGGUGGUUCCGCAUGGAAGGGCCAUCGCUCAACGGAUAAAAGCUACCCCGGGGAUAACAGGCUUAUCUCCCCCAAGAGUCCACAUCGACGGGGAGGUUUGGCACCUCGAUGUCGGCUCAUCGCAUCCUGGGGCUGUAGUCGGUCCCAAGGGUUGGGCUGUUCGCCCAUUAAAGCGGUACGCGAGCUGGGUUCAGAACGUCGUGAGACAGUUCGGUCCCUAUCCGUCGCGGGCGCAGGAAAUUUGAGAGGAGCUGUCCUUAGUACGAGAGGACCGGGAUGGACGCACCGCUGGUGUACCAGUUGUUCUGCCAAGGGCAUCGCUGGGUAGCUAUGUGCGGACGGGAUAAGUGCUGAAAGCAUCUAAGCAUGAAGCCCCCCUCAAGAUGAGAUUUCCCAUUCCGCAAGGAAGUAAGAUCCCUGAAAGAUGAUCAGGUUGAUAGGUCUGAGGUGGAAGUGUGGCGACACAUGGAGCUGACAGAUACUAAUCGAUCGAGGACUUAACCAA
This 2928-nucleotide ribosomal RNA is filed under the name Bacillus amyloliquefaciens. RNAcentral describes it as "bacterial LSU rRNA". It matches the Rfam family "Bacterial large subunit ribosomal RNA". RNAcentral also lists the same sequence under 2 other names. The record is from RNAcentral. Lineage: Bacteria; Bacillati; Bacillota; Bacilli; Caryophanales; Bacillaceae.